Molecule: ribosomal RNA, 791 nt
Filed under: uncultured euryarchaeote
Lineage: Archaea; Methanobacteriati; Methanobacteriota
Description: bacterial SSU rRNA
Rfam family: Archaeal small subunit ribosomal RNA
Source: RNAcentral
ACGGCUCAGUAACACGUGGAGAACCUGCCCUGCGGAGGGGGACAACCUCGGGAAACUGAGGAUAAUCCCCCAUAGUCCUAGGAUGCUGGAAUGCCCCUAGGACGAAAGCUCCGGCGCCGCAGGAUGGCUCUGCGACCUAUCAGGUAGUAGUGGGGGUAACGGCCCCACUAGCCGACGACGGGUACGGGUAGUGAGAGCUAUCGCCCGGAGAUGGAGUCUGAGACACGACUCCAGGCCCUACGGGGCGCAGCAGGCGCGAAAACUGCACAAUGCGCGACAGCGCGAUGCGGGGAUCCCGAGUGCCAGCGCAAAGCGUUGGCUUUUCGAUUCUCUAAAAAAGAUUCGGAAUAAGGGGUGGGUAAGACGGGUGCCAGCCGCCGCGGUAAUACCCGCACCCCCAGUGGACGCCGAUCUUAUUGGGCCUAAAGGGUCCGUAGCCGGUUCUGUAAAUGCCCGGGUAAAUCGUCACGCCCAACGUGUCGAAUUCCGGGUAGACUGCAGAACUAGAGACCGGGAGAGGUAAGGGGUACUCCAGGGGUAGAGGUGAAAUUCUGUGAUCCCUGGGGGACCACCGGUGGCGAAAGCGCCUUACUUGAACGGUUCUGACGGUGAGGGACGAAGGCCAGGGGAGCAAACGGGAUUAGAUACCCCGGUAGUCCUGGCUGUAAACGCUGUGGGCUUGGUGUCGCGGGUCCUACGUGGGCACGCGGUGCCGUAGCGAAGGUGUUAAGCCCACCGCCUGGGGAGUACGACCGCAAGGUUGAAACUUAAAGGAAUUGGCGGGGGAGCAC